GCUCGAUGGAGGGGGAUAACUACUGGAAACGGUAGCUAAUACCGCAUAACGUCGCAAGACCAAAGAGGGGGACCUUCGGGCCUCUUGCCAUCGGAUGUGCCCAGAUGGGAUUAGCUAGUAGGUGGGGUAACGGCUCACCUAGGCGACGAUCCCUAGCUGGUCUGAGAGGAUGACCAGCCACACUGGAACUGAGACACGGUCCAG
Molecule: ribosomal RNA, 204 nt
Filed under: uncultured bacterium
Lineage: Bacteria
Description: partial 16S ribosomal RNA
Rfam family: Bacterial small subunit ribosomal RNA
Source: RNAcentral